AGAACAAAUACACUUGUACUGAUACUUUCUUCCUCGACUCCUAGAAACUGAACAAACGACAACGCCACACCUCCCUCCUUCCUUCCCCACGAUUCGUCCCUCACUCUCCCUCUCUCGCGCCCGGAUCAGGACGUGGUCUCUCGCUCUGCGCCAAACGCACCGCAUCGGAGGAUCUCAAUCGCCACCCCGUAGCUGUCCACCACCUGAGGAUGGCGGACCUGGCGCUCGGCGCGGGGCGGGAUUGGGGCGGGGCCGGGCAUGCGCCGGGAUCCACGACCUCGCUCGAGGCCCGUUUCUCCUCGGGAGACACGCGGUGGCGGGUUACGUUCGCUCCGGAUCUCAUGGCGGCGCGCUCCAUCACCUUCGCCGCCGGCGAGCUCCUUCUCCGUCAGGAUGCGCUACGUUUGGUUCUUCUCGAUGAUCGCGGCAGCACGGUGGACGCCCGAUCCCUACGCAUCGACGAGAUGAUCGACAUCAGGUACAUCGUUCCCUUCCCUUGUCAUUUUGCUAGGGUUUGGGAUCGUCUUCCUCCCCCUGAUCCUACGGUUCGGUCACCGGAGCGCCGUGGCGCCGGCGCGACCGCGCGCGGCGAGCCGUCGUGUUCGCAUGAGGGGGCCGGGGUGUUGGGGGCGGUCCAGGGUAAUCGACUCGGUACCCCCCUCCUGGCCGGUCCAGGGAUCCUGGGGCGUCGACCGGCAGAAAACCGCUACACUCUUCCGGAUCUGGGACACGUGGAGACAGAUGAAUCCGACCGCCAUGAUCGGGCCGCGACUAGGGUUCUACCCCCUCCCCCUGGUAUAAGUCGACGCGCCGCUACCUCGCGUCCCCCCAUUCUAGAUCUGGAAGAAUGCCUCAUCCAUUUUUGGGAGAAACCUGAGAGAGAGGAACCUAGGGUUCAUCCAUCUUUCGGCUGGUGGGAGGGGAAAAUUCGUGGUGAUCUCAGAUCUUUCGCUCAAGUUGUCUCUCCCUCCCCACCUAGAUCGACUACUGCACCCCUCCGCGAAUCACCUAAGAUGAGAGAAACGGGGUUCGGCGCGGGUCGUCAUGGCCGCGGCGCGGGCCGCUUCAACCGGGGUGAGGGGCGAGGCCGUGGCGAUGGUGGUCGCGGCCGCUUUGGAGGUGGCGACGGGGGACGGGGGCGUGGCCGUGAUAGCCAUGUCUGGACCCGCAAGACGGCGAUGGGGGCCUCCUCCUCCUCCAACGCUCCGUCCGGAUCUGACGAGUCUGGCUUCGAUCGAUGGGAGAAAGCUGCCGGAAAGCAGCAGGAUGAACUAGCCCAUCAAGAUCGAUGGAAAGCCGAUCGAGGGGGAUGGCUCGAAUCCUCGCAACAACGACAAGAUCCUUUCUCCUGACAAGAUGCGUGAACCCCCUGGUAUCCCUGACCAUUUAGUUACCUCCUCUGAGCUUUGUCAAAUCUGUAGCCAUGCGGGGCACUUCACUGCCAAGUGCCCCCAAGCUCUUUGUGUUAGGUGCAAAAAGAAAGGCCAUCUAUCUGUGAUCUGUACUGAUUUUCUUCCAUGGGAAUGCAUACCUGCGAUGUGUGCUUUCCAAGCCAGAAGGCAGGGAUUUCACUAUAUUCAUGAUUAUUCUGUUGGUAGUCAGACUAGUGAGAGGAUAGUCAAGGUCAUUAUCACUAUUGUUGAAGGGGAAAUUACCACCAAACAGCUAGUAGAUGAGUUUGAAAAGUAUAUUGGUCAGGGUGGAGAUGCUCGGCUCACCUGAUUGCUCCUAAGCAAUAUGUGAUGCGUUUUCCUAACCAAAGAGAGGUGGAUAAAGCUCUGUUUGUUGAAUAUAUUCCUCUUAAAUCUUUGGGAGUAGUUGUCCGUAUAACUCCUUGGUCUGAGGAUGUAGAAUCUGAGGGUCUGCUGGAAGUUGCUUGGGUGAAAAUUAGUAAGAUCCCACCUAACAAAAGAUGUGACAAGAAUGUGGCUUACAUUGGGGGACUGGUUGGGGUGACCCUGGACAUUGAUAUGUCGACCCUCAACCGACCAUCUUCUGUGCGUAUCAAACUGGGAUGUCGAGAGGUUGACAAGCUGCCUACCUCAGCUGAAGGAUGCUUAGGGGGACGGUUCUAUCGCUUUCAUUAUGAGGUUGAAGAGGUCCUGGUGAGAAAUAUCACUCGUGAGGAAGAGCCGGUUCAGGUACCACAUUACGCUGUUCCGAAGAAUGGCACCCCUAAACGCAAACGAAAUGACACACCCCCUGGUGAGGAGGACAAGCCCUCAGAGAGAACUGAAAAAGCUAAAACCUCCUCCUACCGUGGCGGCAAAGCCUGUUGCUUGCCAUCACUUACCGAUGAGGACCAUAUCCCUGCUGACAGUUCUUCUUCUGAAAGUGAUAAUGGUGGGGCUAACAGCCCUUUGCUGAUUGAGAAACUAGCUCUGGAAAUGGCUACUGGUGCUACGCAUCAAGGAGAUGAGUACUUGCUGUCUCAGAGCGACAUCUGCAAGCAUGAUCCUGUUGAUCAUCUGGUUGCUAGUGAUCACUCUUUGCAGAUCUCUGAGGUGGUUGGAGACAUGGGAUCAGACCUGAAGGUGUCCAUGGACUACACGGUACAGCUUCCUCAUCCUGACUGUGAGGAGAUUAUUCCCACACCCCCCCUCGCGCCUGAGACUCACCUCCGAUUCUGCCAGCGCAAUCCCCACCUCCAACAUAGGAAUAUGGAAACAAGAGCAGUAACCCUGAUCAAUGCCAAAAACCUGACAGGUAAAACCAAACCCAAUAAUAAGAAUACUUUUGCUGCUCUUGCUGAUUCUGAACUUAUAAGCCGUGCCUCCAAGAUGGGGGUCCUAAUCCCUGAUAAUGAUUUUUCUUGCAUUAACAUUGUGAGGGAAUUAGAGACAGUUAGGGCCAAUCUGAUUGACAAAAACACAAACCCUCAAGUUAUCAUUGAUGAGGUGUUUGUUACUAAUGGUCUUGGCAAAGAUACCCCCCUGAAUUUAACCUGGCUUGAUGAAGAUGAGAUGGCCAAUGAUAAGUUAGUUAAAUCCAGAUCUGCUAAGAAAAGCAAGAAAAAAUAGACAUUAAACUUCCUAAGCCUGUGACUAGGAGUCAAAACAAUAAGAAGGAUGGUGCUGAUGUAUCUGGUGACUCUUCUACCCUGUCUGGUAGGGUCACUAGAACCAGAAGACAAGCUAAACGUUCCAAAUGAGGGGUCUCAUUUGGAACUGCAGAGGGGUAGGCAAGAAGGGAAUGGCCACCUGCCUCUCUGAUAUCAUCAAUGACCAUUCCAUUGACUUUCUUAGGUUGCAAGAAACCUUGAAGAAGGAUUUUACUCCUAAACUUAUUAGAAAACUUGAUCCCUUCAAUUCUUUUCAUUGGGAAUGGAUUCCUGCUAUCGGGAAAUCUGGGGGCAUCCUAUGUGGUAUUCGCAUUAGCAACCUGGAGUUGCUACAGUGCACCAAAGGGGAUUAUAUCCUGCAAAUGCAUGUUAGAGACCUUAAGACCAAAAAAAUCUGGAGCUUCCUAGUGGUUUAUGGUUCUGCUCAUGAGGAGCACAAGGGAGAAUUCUUGAUGGAGCUGGCCUCCUUUUGCCACAACACUAACGUUCCUUAUAUAGUUGGGGGCGACUUCAAUAUUUUGAGACAUGAUGGAGAGAAAAACAAAAAAUGCACAGAUCUAAAUCUGUUGAUCUUUUCAAUUCAAUCAUUAAUACUCUGGGGCUUAGAGAAAUAUAUAUGAGUGGUGGCAAGUACACCUGGUCCAAUAAUCAGUCCCAUCCUACGCUCGAAAAACUUGAUCGGGUAUUAAUGUCUGACUCCUGGGAGGAGAUGUUUCCCUUGGUCUCUCUGAGAAAAUUGGUUAGGGAACUGUCUGACCACAACCCUAUUUUGCUCUAUCUUGAUGGGGAAAAUAGGGUGCCUACUAAGGCCCAAGAAUUUCGAUUUGACCUAUCCUGGCUAAAGGAUGACAGAUUCCUCGGCCUAGUGGCUAAAAUCUGGAAUAGAAAGGUUGCUGCCUCGGAUCCCAUUGACAUCUUAAACAUCAAAUUGAAAAGAUUUAAAUCUUAUUUCAAGGGGUGGGGCUCGGAUAAAUUUGGGCAUGCCAAGAGACGGAAAGAAGACCUACGAAUUGAGCUUGAGCUGCUGGAAGAGGCAGAGGAGGAGGGCCCCCUCCCGCCCGAGCUAUACUGUAGAAAAACUGAUAUAUGUUUUGAGCUCCAUGAGCUGCUUAUCGCUGAAGAAAUCUACUGGCUUCAGCAAUCUCACGAACGCUGGCUGCUUCGAGGGGACCGCAAUACGGACUACUUUCAUAAGAUAGCCAAUGGUCGUAGAAGAAAAAAUGCAAUCCACGCUCUCAAAUGUGGAGAGGUGGAGAUUGAGGGCACUGAUAAUCUGUUGGCUCAUGCUACUAACUUCUAUAAGGAUCUCUUUGGCCCUGCACCAGGUAACUUGUUUCAUCUGGAUCCUGAGACUUGGGGAGAGGCUGAAAGACUCUCAGCCAGAGAUAAUAUCGAUUUAAUUAGAGAGUUUUCUGAGGAAGAGGUCAAAGAUGCUCUAUUUGACAUGGACAUCAACAGAGCUCCGGGCCCUGAUAAUAUUCCUGCUGAAUUUUAUCAGUGGUGCUGGGAGAUAGUCAAAAUUGAUAUUAUGAGGCUUUUUGACAGCUUCCACAAAGGCACACUGGAUGUGCAGCGUCUUAACUAUGGCAUCAUCACCAUACUCCCUAAAGUCUCGGGGGCUGACCGUAUACAGCAAUUUCGACCUAUCUGUCUUCUUCGUUGCCCCUACAAGUUGAUCACCAAGGUCAUGGAUAGGAGAGUUUCUAGGUACGCUGAUAUUCUUAUUAGCCCCACUCAGAAUGCCUUCAUAAAAGGCAGAAGCAUUAUGGAUGGGGUGCUGGCCCUCCAUGAACUUCUCAACUACACCCAUGUCAAAAAGAGAGUCGGGGUGAUCCUCAAACUUGAUUUUGAAAAGGCUUACGACAAGGUCAAUUGGGACUUCCUACUUGAGUGUCAUAAGAUGCGAGGCUUUGAUCCCAAAUGGUGUAGUUGGGUUGAGCAAAUCCUACACAAUGGCACAGUCAGCAUCAAGUUAAAUAAUUGUGUCGGGCCUUAUUUGCAAAGUGCCAAAGGGGUACGCCAGGGGGACCCCUAUUCUCCUUUUUUGUUUAAUAUGGCUGUGGAGUGCCUCACUAAAAUGAUCAAGAACGCCCAGAACAAUAAUCUUAUUGUUGGGUUAGCUUCGGAUCUAAUCCCACAUGGAGUUGCGGUGCUGCAAUACGCAGACGACACGAUUAUCUGUCUAGAGCAUGAUGUUGAAAAAGCUGUUAAUCUUAAACUCCUGUUGUACAUUUUUGAGAUGAUGUCUGGCCUCAAGGUGAAUUUUCACAAGAGUGAGAUCUUAACCGUUGGGGGGGAUGCCCAAAUUACUAAGACUUAUGCUGAGCUUUUCAACUGUGAUAUAGGCCAAUUCCCUCUUAAGUAUCUGGGUAUGCCGGUGAGUUACACGGCUCUGAGAAACUCUGACUGGGAUUUCAUAGUUGAUAAAUAUCUCCUUAGAUUCGAUGCCUGGGUUGGUAAUGCUGCUUCUAUGGGAGGGAGACACACCCUUCUAGACUCGAUAGUUACUCAACUCUCUCUAUACCACAUGUCUAUGUGGCUGAUGAACAAAUCUUUUGUGGAAAAAUUGGAUAAAUACAGAAGGAGAUUCUUCUGGCAGGGGUGUAGUAAGAAACGGAGAUAUCACUUGAUCAGAUGGAACAGGAUCUGUAGAUCCAAAGAAAAAGGGGGGCUUGGUAUUAAAGACUUGCGCAAGAAAAACAUUAGUCUGAUGCUCAAGUGGUGGUGGAAGCUAGACACCCAGAAAGGAAUUUGGCAAGAUAUUGUUUGGGCUAGGUAUCUCCGCAACCAAACUGUUGCAACUGUUAGCCCUCGUUUCUCUGAUUCACCUUGUUGGAAAAACUUGUUGAAAAUCAAAAACAUGUACAUGAUAGGCAGGAAGCUUCACGUGGGGACAGGCAACCUAACCAGGUUGUGGAAAGACUCUAUUAAUGGGUUAACUCCUUUCCAAGAACAAUUCCCAGGCCUCUUUGAUAUUUGUGUUGAUCAAGAUUGUACCCUGGAUAGGCUUAGCUCCAUAACCUGUUCUAGCUUUUUCCGCAGAAGAUUGAACGCUGAUUUGACAGACCAGUGGUCUAAUCUUCGAGAUCAGGUGCGCAAUCUAAACUUACCGAAUGCCCCUGACUCGGUGUAUUGGUACCUGAAUAAAUCUGGCAAAUACACUACCAAAUCCAUGUAUAAAUGGCUUGAAAAACCCCUUAGCGGAUGCAACUAUAGGUGGAUUUGGAAAGCCAAAAUCCCUCUCAAAAUACAAAUCUUUCUUUGGCAACUCUCACAAGAUGCCGUCCUGACUAGGCAGGUGAUGCGGCAUCGAAAAUGGCCAGGGAACCCUGUGUGUUCCUUCUGCCAACAAAUUGAAACUUCCCAGCACUUGUUCUUUGAAUGUUCUGUUGCCAGAGUGGUUUGGAGGUCUAUUGGAGUAACUCUGGGGACUGAUCUUUGUCCUAAGAACUGCUGGCAAUUUUUUGUUUGGUGCUACUCUUUCAUCCCCGACUACGAACGUUUCUAUACGGUGGCCUUGGGCGCAAUUACCUGGUCCAUUUGGCUGGCGCAAAACCGUGCUACUUUUGAGAAUAAGAUAAUCAAAUCUCCUUUUGAGAUUGUGUUUACGGUGGUUUCCUUCCUUCUUUAUUGGGCAGGGCUCCAGGCGGGGGACGACGUCAAGCAGCUUCGGGCAGGGGCGGAGAUGAUUCGCGACGGGACGACAAGGCUGAUGCGAGCCUGUGAUGCAACUAUCAAGAUUGGAGACUAAAAAUUAAAAAUAGGGAAGGAGAUCGACGGAUUAUCCCCCAAGCUCUUCAUACUUAUGCUGCGGCUUGUUUUACCCCGGUCGUCUGGACAAAGGACUUCUAUUUUGAGCUAUGGCUACUGGUGUUUUGUUGUCAUACUUUCUGGUGGCUUUUGGACUGUCGUUUGUAAUAGGUCUAGAUAUUUGGUGCUACUAGGUUUUCGCCCCAUGGCGCCCGUUUCGAUGGCGGGCGGGUGCCGUGGGUUUCCUAGUAGUGCGUUGAACUCGCUCUCCCCUUCUCCCUGUUCUUAGUCUCAUCCCUGUUUCUCAGACCGGUUGUAUUUCCGUUCUAAGUAAUGGAAAGGGGGUUAUCCCGGUUCAAAAAAAAUGAUAACCCCCUAUGAUGAAAGUGCA
This 7202-nucleotide long non-coding RNA is filed under the name Triticum aestivum (bread wheat). RNAcentral describes it as "long non-coding RNA (TAES_LNC028585)". The record is from RNAcentral. Lineage: Eukaryota; Viridiplantae; Streptophyta; Magnoliopsida; Poales; Poaceae.